AACGAACGUUGGCGGUGUGGAUUAGGCAUGCAAGUCGCGCGCGAAAGCCUUCGGACAAGUAAAGCGGCGGACGGGCGAGUAACGCGUAGUCAACCUACCCUCGAGACCGGAAUAGCCACUGGAAACGGUGGGUAAUGCCGGAUUGCCCCGCGGAUUGGCAUCUAACUGCGGGUAAACGGUGGCGUAAGCUGCUGCUCGGGGAGGGGAUUGCGUCCUAUCAGCUUGUUGGUGAGGUAACGGCUCACCAAGGCUAUGACGGGUAGUUGGUCUGAGAGGACGACCAGCCGCACUGGGACUGAGACACUGCCCAG
This 311-nucleotide ribosomal RNA is filed under the name uncultured bacterium. RNAcentral describes it as "bacterial SSU rRNA". It matches the Rfam family "Bacterial small subunit ribosomal RNA", at positions 29 to 334 of the family's 1533-position model. The record is from RNAcentral.